This is a long non-coding RNA of Ctenopharyngodon idella (grass carp), 2066 nucleotides long. RefSeq lists it as uncharacterized. The transcript has 2 exons. The record is from RefSeq and is a predicted model, not a curated record. Lineage: Eukaryota; Metazoa; Chordata; Actinopteri; Cypriniformes; Xenocyprididae.
GUAUUUAUAUUAGUACUUUUUAGAGCACAUGUAAAGAUUUAAAGUUUAGAGUUUCUGUGUUGUUUGAUAACCUCCUGGUGUCUCAUAUCUCAUGAAAGUACCCUGUAGCUUUUUUGGACGUUUUUGGGCUUGAAUUUUGGGCUACAACCUUGAAUACGUCCAUUAAUGCAUUUGUGCUAUAGUUUUAUUUCUGUGAUGUCCAGAAUGUGUAGGAGAGACAAAAUGUCCAAUGAAAAUCUUCACCUCACUGCACUUCAGGAAAGAAAAAAAUAAUAAAAAAUAAAAAUAAAAAUUCUAAUGUUAUAUUAACGCUUUUGGGGGGUAACGCAUUACAAGUAACUUGAGUUAUGUAAUCAGAUUACUUUUUUCAAGUAACUAGUAAAGUAACGCAUUACUUUUAAAUUUACAACAAAAUAUCUGAGUUAUUUUUUAACACAAGUUACUUUGUUUUCCCAUUUAUUGACUGACAGCUCUUCUGUCCCCAUAUUAAGAAAAAUCAUAAGUGCAAAAGCGGUGUGUGUGAACAUGAUGGUUAUUGUAUUUCUAGACUAAAUGUGAGCAUGCAUUUACUCAUCUCACUUGCAUAAAAAAAAAGAUUCAGUGUUCUUCAAAAUAAACAAAAUCAGUGAAAUGCAAAAUCAGAAUAUUAUUCAAACAUGUUAAAACAAAUAUUUUUAUGCAUUUAAUCUCACUUUAUUGAGCAGUGUACUUCCUGCUGACCUUCGACGAUUCAGUUAAACCAUAAGCAAAAAUUGUUUUUAUUGGUGAAGUAAGUGUUAAACCUUUUUCUCUCCUGCAUCGUAUUCUUCCAUUCUUCAGUUAUCCAGAACAGCGGCAGCUGAACAGCUGAAAGGUUUGUUUGAGCUGCGCCCUUUACUGUACAGAGUGAAUUUGCAUUUCCUUCAGCCUUAUUAUUUCAAUUUUGGUGUGAAAGUGUCUUUGUAUUUGCCCAAACUUAGAGAACUUUUUUUGUUAUUAAAAAAAAAAUAAGCCCAGCUCAGGUGAGAAAAAUUUAGGCAGAAGUAACAUAAUGAAUUACUUUUUAAAAAGUAAAUAAGUAACGCAAUUAGUUACUUUUUAAGGGAUGCGUUACUUUUCAAAGUAACUUUCCCCAACAUUGAUGAUGACUAACUAUGAGCUUUGUCAUUUAAUUUCAGGGAGAAACAGUAUUUAAGUGUACUCUGUGUAAGAAAGUAUGGCCAUAUGAUGAAGUCCGAAAAUCCGCCAAACUAACAAAUAAUGAGCGAAUAGGUUUUGAGGAUAAGCUUGGAACAAAUGCUGUUAAGAAGUCUGUUGAAAGCGUAAAGGAUUGUCCUGGCUGUGGCACUUUUAUUCAGAGGGUGCACACUACCAAUCUCGCCGUAGAAUGCUUACUCUGCACAGAAAAGACCGGGAAAAUCUAUGAAUUCUGCUGGCAGUGUCAGAGAGUGUGGAAAGGGCCUCGACCUCGUGACGAUCAGUGUGAAAAUGUGGGUUGCAACAUCAAGGACCGGGAACUACUUAAAGACUGUUCAAUGGUCACUUUAACAUCUGUGCAAAAUGUCCUGUGUCCAGCGAUUCGUGCCUGCCCAUUUUGUGGUGUGCUGAUUGAACACCUGCAAAUUGGAUGUAAAAUUAUGACAUUGUCACGGUUCAUGGAUUCACUUACUCACCCUCGUGUGUUGUUGUGUGUGUGUGUGUGUGUGUGUGUGUGUGUGUGUGUGUGUGUUGGGUGUGAGUGAAUGAUUGUGUGGGCGUCACCCAUUAUGGUCUGAUUGCGAUCUGUUGCCAGCCGUGUCUUGUUAGUGGUUGUUAUAUAUUGUGCAUGUCUUUAUGUGUCUUUGUCAGUUCGUUGCAGGCUGUUCCCGGUGUCGUGUUCUCUGUGUGUUUCUUCCUGGUUUUUGGAUUCUGGACUUUCGUCGUGUGCCCUGUUUUCUGGGUUGGAUUAUCCUUGUUCUCUGAUACCCGCUGUAGCCCUGCGCCACCCAGUGCCUCGCCACUCUGCACGCCACAGCCUCUGCCUCGACUGACCCUUGGAGUGAAGUUAUUGUACAGCAUUUUCCUGUCAAUAAAUAUUGUUAUUCUUG